UAGAAACACAUUAAAUCAUGCAACACUUGGCUGAGUGUUAAUGUAUGCGAUUAAUGCCACGGAACAGGAAGUUGUUGUAACUCAGGCAUACAAUGUCUGAUCUGCUCCAAACUUCACAUGUUCGAUAAUAGUCCUGGCUUGAAGACAUCUACAAGACAAUAUUCAGUUAAGGUCAAAGCACCACGUUUUGGCAGCAGGAAGUCUGGCACUUUGAAAUGACUUUUCCAUAAUUCUCCUGUAUUUACUCGCUUACAUGCAUGUCGCCCACUGUUCACUGGUUUCCUGAGGCCAACGGUUGGCGGUGAGCCCGGGUGCGAGGGCCCUUUCAUCGCUGCUUGCAGCUUUAAUUCAGGAUAUUUUGUAGAAAUCAGGACUCACCAGUCACAGCUCCAGUGCAGUUGCCACACAGAUGUUGAGUAGUGUGAAUGAGAUGAAGAGUGAAUCUGUCCAGUCAAAUGGAGCAUCUAAACACAGUCUACUCGAAGAUCAUCUGGACUCCAAUGGAUGUAAACUUACAGACACCCACAACUCAGACAGAAAUGGCUCAGUGAAGCACCAACAUGACUGCCAGAGUCUAGACAGGCCAACAAAAAAGUGCUGGACAGAAUCAGAGUCUCUGGCCUAGGUUGAGAUGGACCCUUCCAGGAUAAAAGAAGACUGAACAAGACCAAAGGUCAGGCCAAAAUCUUAAACUAGGGAGAUGGGACAGCAUUGUGACACCUCUCAGCCCAUCCACCCUAAACCCAAAGCUGAGCUGCUCCAAAAACACCACCCUCCAAACCCAACUACAGCUGAUUAAUGCGCCUUUUCAUGAAACCAUUUUACAGAGAAAUGUAUAUUCUAUAUGUAACGUAAUUUGUCUGAUAUUUUUUUACCAACGAGAUAUUUAUAUUUUUUAUUGAAACAUUUUGACAAUGGGUAAAUAUGCUGUAUAAGCCAUUAUAUGUAAUACAUAAGGAUGAAUGCUGGUGGGCGUGGUCUCUUGUGUUUAGGGUGGGGCCAGUAUGUCUCCAGGCAAAUCAAGCUGUGUUUUGGUUUACAUUAUAUACUAAUGGUUCACUGCUCAGCUUCUUUGUGUUAGUGGAGGCGUACUGCCGACAGAUGUAGUAAAAAUAAAUAAGCCAAUGGAAUCACUCCUUCUAGGCUUUGUUUUAGUCAGGUGUCCAGAAAAUUGGUUCGUUAAUUGUAUUUUCUAGUAAAUUAAAUCUGUUUACUUUUUUUUUUCUUCUUUUUUUUAAUAGUGUAAGGAAAAUGAAGCCCAUUUUUAGGACCAUAAUUUAGCAUUAUAGUCAUUAGUCAUUCUCAUUAAUUUCUCAUAGAUUACUGUAAUACAUUAAUGAAAAUUAUCACCCAGUCUGAACACAGUGAUUGAUUUAAAACUACAACUGAAAUAAAGUAAACAAAAUAAAUAAAUUAAAAAUACUACUGUGAUAUGGAAAUACUUUUCUAUGUACAUUUUUUCGCAUUAAUACAAUAAGAAUAUUGAGAUAAAAUGUGCUUAGUGGCACAAAAACGUUAUAGCUCUAAAAUGGGCUUCAAUUUUAUUAUGCAAAAUAUAAUUUUUUUCUUAUGAAAAUUAAAAAAUAGAAGUCAUGCUGUUGACAGUUCUUGUGGGCUUUUCUCAUUGUUUAUGAUGGUAAAAGAGACAUGAUAUGUAGGUUUGCAUAGAUUUUUGCACAGGUUGUUUUGAUAUUCACACUGUAAAUUCAUCUUUAGUUUUUCCUUUUUGAGUAUUUUUUACAUGCAAUUCAGAAGCUGUUUGUGAGAACUCGGAUACUUGCAAUUAGUUAAACUGGAUAAUUAUAAGGUUUGUAGCCAACAAACUAUAAUAUAAUCACCACUAAGCAUACAGUUUUAAAAACAGGCAGAAAUAAUAGUUAUAGAAUUCAAAGAGGAAGUAAUGGAAUGUCUUUGACCAAAAACAAGGGUUUUUUUUUUUGUUUGUUUUUUCAUAUUUCAAUUUAUGUGGGUCAGUUGGAUUUAAUAAGUUGUACUUCCCUAGAACCAUGUUUAUUGAAAUAUGUUUAAUAUAAUGAAACAUGGAAAUGAUAUAUGUCCAUAACCACAUUUUAAGAAUAAUAUUUGAAUAUUUUGUCGACAGGAAUUCACUGUAAUACAGCUCCAGUACUCAUUUAUAAACAUCCACUCGGCUUAUAGAAACAAGUUCACUUUUUACCUCGUCCUGCAGAUGUAUCAGUCGUGCAUUUACACUUAAGAAAUCAUGGUGCUAUAUUUCCUCUAGUCAUCUUAUUUCCCUUUGUUAGUGUAAUUUGUGGUGUUUGUCACCAUUUAAGAGUUCUCUUAGCUUCAUGUAUGUGACUGUAGCAUUAAUCUUGUUUUAAAUGGUCUAGGGUGGGAUGUAUGCACUCAUUCUGAUCAGAAUACAUUAAACACAUCUUAAAUAGCAA
Megalobrama amblycephala (Wuchang bream) is the source of this 2408-nucleotide long non-coding RNA. RefSeq lists it as uncharacterized. Lineage: Eukaryota; Metazoa; Chordata; Actinopteri; Cypriniformes; Xenocyprididae. The transcript is spliced from 2 exons. The record is from RefSeq and is a predicted model, not a curated record.